GAACCCAUCCGUUGGUCGGGCCUCACGGUCCGCACUGGUGUGAUGGAUUCUUACCUUCUGAAUAACCAGCAUGCUAUUAAGUUAGUGCGUUGGGGAAGCAGAUCUAUUACCUUGAAAAAAUUAGAGUGCUUAAAGCGAGCUAGUGCUUGAAUAGAUUAGCAUGGAAUAAUAAAAUAGGACGGCAUGGUUCUGUUUUGUUGGUUUCUAGGAUCACCGUA
RNAcentral lists this ribosomal RNA (218 nucleotides) under Campeiostachys nutans. Its description in RNAcentral is "Elymus nutans partial small subunit ribosomal RNA". The stretch from base 47 to 218 matches the Rfam family "Eukaryotic small subunit ribosomal RNA", at positions 692 to 864 of the family's 1831-position model. Lineage: Eukaryota; Viridiplantae; Streptophyta; Magnoliopsida; Poales; Poaceae. The record is from RNAcentral.